GGGAAGUCGCAGCAAAAGAAUUUCAGAAAUGUACUGAUGUCAUGCUCUGCAGGAAGACAGAAAAAAAGCACAAGGUGUCUACUUGCAUCGUAAACAUUGUGGCAUUCGGAGAACAGUGUGAACAAUGUUGAAAACUUCUCUGCGAUGCAUUCUGCCUCCUUGUGCUUAGCUGGACAGAGAUGAGACGUUUCAUCAACGAUUGAAGAUUUUCCACAGUGACAUCCUGCACGUCCACCGUGUCAUUGAUCAGCGCAACAACUGCUAGCUGUUCCUUGAGGUCAUCAAUCUGACCGCGAAUCUCCUCAGCCCUGUCCCUGGCAGCAAAAACAUCUGAGAGUU
Molecule: long non-coding RNA, 339 nt
Organism: Patiria miniata (bat star)
Lineage: Eukaryota; Metazoa; Echinodermata; Asteroidea; Valvatida; Asterinidae
Exons: 3
Source: RefSeq, a predicted model, not a curated record